GAUGAACGCUGGCGGCGUGCCUAAUACAUGCAAGUCGAGCGAACAGACGAGGAGCUUGCUCCUCUGACGUUAGCGGCGGACGGGUGAGUAACACGUGGAUAACCUACCUAUAAGACUGGGAUAACUUCGGGAAACCGGAGCUAAUACCCGAUAAUAUAUUGAACCGCAUGGUUCAAUAGUGAAAGACGGUUUUGCUGUCACUUAUAGAUGGAUCCGCGCCGCAUUAGCUAGUUGGUAAGGUAACGGCUUACCAAGGCGACGAUGCGUAGCCGACCUGAGAGGGUGAUCGGCCACACUGGAACUGAGACACGGUCCAGACUCCUACGGGAGGCAGCAGUAGGGAAUCUUCCGCAAUGGGCGAAAGCCUGACGGAGCAACGCCGCGUGAGUGAUGAAGGUCUUCGGAUCGUAAAACUCUGUUAUUAGGGAAGAACAAAUGUGUAAGUAACUAUGCACGUCUUGACGGUACCUAAUCAGAAAGCCACGGCUAACUACGUG
Molecule: ribosomal RNA, 497 nt
Filed under: uncultured bacterium
Lineage: Bacteria
Description: partial 16S ribosomal RNA
Rfam family: Bacterial small subunit ribosomal RNA
Source: RNAcentral